UACGUAGGGGGCCAGCGUUGUCCGGAAUCAUUGGGCGUAAAGCGCGCGUAGGCGGUCAGGUAGGUCCGCUGUGAAAGUCCGAGGCUCAACCUCGGAAUGUCGGCGGAAACCCUCUGGCUAGAGUCCGGAAGAGGAGAGUGGAAUUCCCGGUGUAGCGGUGAAAUGCGCAGAUAUCGGGAAGAACACCCGUGGCGAAGGCGGCUCUCUGGAACGGUACUGACGCUGAGACGCGAAAGCGUGGGGAGCGAACAGG
Molecule: ribosomal RNA, 253 nt
Filed under: uncultured bacterium
Lineage: Bacteria
Description: partial 16S ribosomal RNA
Rfam family: Bacterial small subunit ribosomal RNA
Source: RNAcentral